CCUACGGGGUGCUGCAGUGGGGAAUAUUGCGCAAUGGGCGAAAGCCUGACGCAGCGACGCCGCGUGAGGGAUGAAGGUCUUCGGAUCGUAAACCUCUGUCAGCAGGGAAGAACGGUCACUGUGCUAAUCAGCAGUGAAUUGACGGUACCUGCAAAGGAAGCACCGGCUAACUCCGUGCCAGCAGCCGCGGUAAUACGGAGGUUGCGAGCGUUAAUCGGAAUUACUGGGCGUAAAGCGCUCGUAGGCGGUAUGUCAAGUCAAGGGGGAAAUCCCCGCGCUCAACGUGGGAACUGCCUUUGAAACUGGCAAACUGGAGUGUGUGAGAGGAUAGUGGAAUUCCAGGUGUAGGAGUGAAAUCCGUAGAUAUCUGGAGGAACAUCAGUGGCGAAGGCGACUAUCUGGCACAUAACUGACGCUGAGGAGCGAAAGCGUGGGUAGCAAACAGGAUUAGAUACCCCAGUAGUC
This 465-nucleotide ribosomal RNA is filed under the name uncultured bacterium. Its description in RNAcentral is "partial 16S ribosomal RNA". It matches the Rfam family "Bacterial small subunit ribosomal RNA", at positions 338 to 795 of the family's 1533-position model. The record is from RNAcentral.